UUGACGGGACCGCACAAGCGGUGGAUGAUGUGGUUUAAUUCGAUGCAACGCGAAAAACCUUACCCACCUUUGACAUGGCAGGAAUCCUAAAGAGAUUUGGGAGUGCUCGAAAGAGAACCUGCACACAGGUGCUGCAUGGCUGUCGUCAGCUCGUGUCGUGAGAUGUUGGGUUAAGUCCCGCAACGAGCGCAACCCUUGCCAUUAGUUGCUACGAAAGGGCACUCUAAUGGGACUGCCGGUGACAAACCGGAGGAAGGUGGGGAUGACGUCAAGUCCUCAUGGCCCUUAUGGGUAGGGCUUCACACGUCAUACAAUGGUCGGUACAGAGGGUUGCCAACCCGCGAGGGGGAGCUAAUCCCACAAAGCCGAUCGUAGUCCGGAUCGCAGUCUGCAACUCGACUGCGUGAAGUCGGAAUCGCUAGUAAUCGCGGAUCAGCAUGUCGCGGUGAAUACGUUCCCGGGUCUU
RNAcentral lists this ribosomal RNA (466 nucleotides) under uncultured Allobrachymonas sp. Its description in RNAcentral is "bacterial SSU rRNA". It matches the Rfam family "Bacterial small subunit ribosomal RNA", at positions 910 to 1382 of the family's 1533-position model. The record is from RNAcentral. Lineage: Bacteria; Pseudomonadati; Pseudomonadota; Betaproteobacteria; Burkholderiales; Comamonadaceae.